GUAAGAUUGGAAGCUGUGGUUAAAGGUUUGGAAGCUGUUGUGUGCAAAACCUUGUCACAGGUUUGAGAAAAAAGGAUGUGGUGGAUGGGAGAUCAAGUUUGAAAGUUCAAAGAAUUGCUGCUGCAGUUCUACACUGCAGUCACUGAGUCUGUCUUGUGCACCUCCAUCACUGCGUGGUUUGGAGCCGCCACCAAGCAGGAUAGAACCAGACUACAGCGCACAGUGAGGACUGCCGAGCGCAUCAUUGGAGCCUCCCUGCCCUCUAUUGUGGACCUGUACUCUUCCAGGUUGAAGAAGAGGGCGGGGAACAUCAUUAAGGACUCCUUCCAUCCUGCGCACAGACUGUUUGAACUGCUUCCGUCUGGUAGGCGCUUCAGAUCCCUCCAGACUAAGACUAAUAGGCACUGGAGAAGUUUUUUCCCUACUGCAGUCACUUUGCUGAACAGUUAACUGUCUGCUAACUAUUACUUGGAUUGCACUACCUGUAUGUAUCAUCUAUAUUUUCAUUUAUAUUUAUCAUUAUUAUUGUUAUGAGCAGAGAGACAACAUCUGCCGGAAAUAAAUUCCUUGUAUGUGCACAGGUACUUGGCGAUUAAAGUCUGAUUCUGAUUCUGACAUUCACAAGAAACACUAGAACCAAUAAAAGACUGCAAGCAACCAAUGUGCCAAAGACAACAAAUUGUGCAACUAUAAAAGAGGGGGGAAAUAAAUAAACAAACAAACAAACAAGCAAGCGAGCAAUAAAUAUUGAGAACAUGAGGUGAAAAGUCCUUGAAAGUGAGUCCAUUGGUUGUGGGAACAGUUCAGUGAUGGGAUGAGUGAAGUUAUCCACACUGGUUGAAGAGCCUGAUGGUUGAGUGAUAAUAACUAUUCCUGAACCUGGUGAUGUGAGCCCUGAGGCUGCUGUACAUUUUUCCUGAUGGCAGCAGUGAGAAGAAUGCAUGGCCUGGAUGGUGGGGGUCCUUGAUGAUGGAUGUUGCUUUCCUGUGAUAACGAUCUGUGAAGAUGAGCUCAAUGGUGGGGAGGGUUUUACUCACGAUGGACUGGGCUGUAUCCAUUACUUUUUGUCGAAUUUUUCAUUCAAGGGCAUUGGUGUUUCCAUACCAGGCAGUGAUGCAGCCAGUCAGUAUACUCUCCACCACGCAUCUGUAGUUUGUCAGGGUUUUAGAUGUCAUGCCAACUCUUCGCAAAGUUCUAAGGAAGUUGAGGCACUGACGUGCUUUCUUCAGCAUGCUUCGCCUCACAUUGAUGGGUGCCAGGAUGAUUGAUGACUGUAAUCUAAGAGACUCCAGUUGCCAAGGAGAAGGAGCUCAGUCACCAGCUUAGACUGACAAGUUUGGAGAUGUUUUCUUUGGAGCAAGAAAGCCUGGACAGAGACUUGACAGAGGUUUAGUCUGGGGUACAUCCACAGUUACAUCAGCCCAUCUGUGUACGAGAACUGAGCAGAGAGGCAGAGUGGUCUCGGGACCCCCAACCCUGUCUAUACCAAAGUCAACGAAGUGUAUGGAGACCCCGAGGGGCUGGAGCCCGACAGCCCACAGUCGGGGCUCACCACCGGCUACUUCAGCAGGGAGGCGGCGGCGGUCAGCGAGGGCUACAGCAUGGACGCCUUCUUCAUCACGGACGGGCGAUCGAGGAAGCGCCCUGAGAGCGCGCCGCGGGAGCGCACCCAGCGCCACACGUGCAGCGAGUGCGGCAAGACGUACGCCACCUUGUCCAACCUGAGCUGCCACAAGCAGACCCACCGCAGCCUGGACAGCAAGCUGGCCCGCAAGUUCCCCAACUGCUCCAAGGUCUACGUCUCCAUGCCCGCCCUGGCCAUGCACGUCCUCACCCACGACCUCAAGCACAAGUGCGAGACGUGCGGCAAGGCCUUGGAAGAUGACAGAAGGGCAUCCAUCUCUAAAAUACAUUGCACAAAAUGGUGGAAGUGGACUUGCAACAACUUGUCCUUAGAAUAAGGAAGCAAUCAAAAGCCAUUCACAGUAACAUCAUUCGAGCAAGACUUGAUGCUGAGUUGAAUGAGGAGUUCUGGAAACACGAACCAAAAGCUUGGCCAAAGAGGCAGCACAGAAGGAAGAACUGAAAAGAGGAAGACGUUGAAUGGUUUUGGGAGGGAAUUACAGUGGCAGUCCCCAAGGCAGUUGUGUUGGGCAAACAAAGAAUGCCUCAAGAAGGUGGCAUCUGUUAUUAAGGGCCCUCACCACCUACAACACUCCCUUUCCUCAUCUUGACCUUUCGGGACAAGUAUCAGGAGCCUAAAGACACACCCUCAACAUUUUAGAAACAACUUCUUCCCCC
Molecule: RNA transcript, 2301 nt
Organism: Hypanus sabinus (Atlantic stingray)
Lineage: Eukaryota; Metazoa; Chordata; Chondrichthyes; Myliobatiformes; Dasyatidae
Gene name: transcriptional repressor scratch 2-like
Exons: 3
Source: RefSeq, a predicted model, not a curated record